CCGCUUUGCUGCUGGCCCCAGCUCUCCAUCCCCAGGAACGGGUCCCUGGCUGUCAUGUAGUAGAAUGUGAUGCAAAGUCUUCUUGAAAAUAAGGAACUGGAUCAGCACUGAGCAUUCGACCCCACUUGGGCCUCUCUGAAUCUCUGCCCUGGGAAUUUGGAGAGAGGCACGUGGGAGUCAGUCUCCGUCAUCUGAGAGAGGAACUUCAAAACCCAACAUGUAACAAACAUCCCAAACCCAGCCUCAGUCUCCAUGGUGAUCAGGAAGUGCCCUCCCCCACCACCUAUCCCCUCUUUCUCCUUGGUGAGGGCCACACAACAUCCAUGAGUAGAGGGCAUCCAUGGCUCAUUUGUAGACUCUAAGGCUGGGAAUGGUGUCAUGUCAAAAGAGGGAAAAAGCUUUAUUCCAUUUGGCUCAGAGAGAGUUGAGGGAGCAGAUGGAGCGUCUCAGCAAUGACAGAAGCUAAAGCAGCAGAGAAAUAGGGUUAAAGCAUAUUGGCAGCUCUGAAGACCUGAGAAGCAGCCUGCUGCCAGGGACCGCAAGUGCUGGGGAAGCUGAACCCCGGGACGUCUGGACAUGCGUGAUCAAGCAGUGACCCCAUUUCUGCAACCGAAACCAAACCAAAAUAAAAUCCUGCUAUAGCC
This 644-nucleotide long non-coding RNA is filed under the name Mustela putorius furo (domestic ferret). RNAcentral describes it as "lncRNA (ENSMPUG00000024078.1)". The record is from RNAcentral. Lineage: Eukaryota; Metazoa; Chordata; Mammalia; Carnivora; Mustelidae.